GCGCGGGGCAACCUGGCGGCGAGCGGCGAACGGGUGAGUAAUGCAUCGGAACAUGUCCAUUCGUGGGGGAUAGCCCGGCGAAAGCCGGAUUAAUACCGCAUACGCCCGAGAGGGGAAAGUGGGGGACCGCAAGGCCUCACGCGAUUGGGUUGGCCGAUGUCCGAUUAGCUAGUUGGCGGGGUAAAGGCCCACCAAGGCGAUGAUCGGUAGCUGGUCUGAGAGGAUGAUCAGCCACACUGGGACUGAGACACGGCCCAGACUCCUACGGGAGGCAGCAGUGGGGAAUUUUGGACAAUGGGGGAAACCCUGAUCCAGCCAUUCCGCGUGAGUGAAGAAGGCCUUCGGGUUGUAAAGCUCUUUUGUCCGGAACGAAACGGUGGACGUGAAUAUCGUCCACUACUGACGGUACCGGAAGAAUAAGCACCGGCUAACUACGUGCCAGCAGCCGCGGUAAUACGUAGGGUGCGAGCGUUAAUCGGAAUUACUGGGCGUAAAGCGUGCGCAGGCGGUUUUGUAAGCCAGAUGUGAAAUCCCCGGGCUCAACCUGGGAAUGGCAUUUGGGACUGCAAGGCUGGAGUUUGGCAGAGGAGACUGGAAUUCCUGGUGUAGCAGUGAAAUGCGUAGAUAUCAGGAGGAACACCGAUGGCGAAGGCAGGUCUCUGGGCUGAAACUGACGCUCAUG
Molecule: ribosomal RNA, 682 nt
Filed under: uncultured Pseudomonadota bacterium
Lineage: Bacteria; Pseudomonadati; Pseudomonadota
Description: bacterial SSU rRNA
Rfam family: Bacterial small subunit ribosomal RNA
Source: RNAcentral